GGGUUUUUAGUAUAAUUAGUAUUUUUAAUUGCAAAUUAAAAGGUUUCAAGCCUU
This 54-nucleotide transfer RNA is filed under the name Strongyloides sp. EN-2020c. Its description in RNAcentral is "tRNA-Cys". Lineage: Eukaryota; Metazoa; Nematoda; Chromadorea; Rhabditida; Strongyloididae. The record is from RNAcentral.